Molecule: ribosomal RNA, 526 nt
Filed under: uncultured prokaryote
Description: bacterial SSU rRNA
Rfam family: Bacterial small subunit ribosomal RNA
Source: RNAcentral
UAGUGCUUGGCUACUACAUGCAUGAAGCUUGGGGUGGAAACUCUAACGAAUUGACGGGCUGCCUCCCGUAGGAGUAUAAUACCUGGGAUUCCUCCCGGAACCUUCAGAAUACCCACCGGCUAACUACGUGCCAGCAGCCGCGGUAAUACGUAGGGUGCGAGCGUUAAUCGGAAUUACUGGGCGUAAAGCGUGCGCAGGCGGUUUUGUAAGUCAGAUGUGAAAGCCCCGGGCUCAACCUGGGAACUGCGUUUGAAACUACAAGGCUAGAGUGUAUCAGAGGGGGGUAUAAUUCCACGUGUACCAGUGACAUGCGUAGAGAUGUGGAGGACUACCGAUGGCGAAGGCAGCCCCCUGGGUUAACACUGACGCUCAUGUACCAAAGCGUGGGGCCCCCACACGAUUAGAUACCCUGGUAUUCCACGCCCUAUACGAUGUCACCUAGUUGUCGCGAGACGAGACUUUCUUGCUAACGCACUAACCCGUGCAGUUGACCGCCGCGGCGUACGGCCGCCGGUUAAAACUCAAA